RNAcentral lists this ribosomal RNA (83 nucleotides) under Bacteroides reticulotermitis. The record is from RNAcentral. Lineage: Bacteria; Pseudomonadati; Bacteroidota; Bacteroidia; Bacteroidales; Bacteroidaceae.
CUCUUCCCAUUCCGAACAGAGAAGUUAAGCCUCGUCACGCCGAUGGUACUGCGUAAUUGUGGGAGAGUAGGUAGCCGCCGUUU